CUUUCUGUGCAGUCAGCUAAAAGCAGUGGUCUGUCCCACUGGCUUUGCAUUGUAGCUAUUUGUUGCCAGUCAUCUUUGCAGCCAUCUUUGAGAUCUUGUUGGCCAUUCUUCUUCCGUGUGUUUCUGGCAUUCUUUCAGGGUUUUCUUCCCUGUGUUGUCAUGAACUCAGGUCUUUCUUGCUGGCCUCUUCUGCAUCAAUAUUCCUGACUUUGCCAGCCCCUUUCCAUCACGGGUGGUGGCGUUUAACUCUCUUCUGGGCUCGUCCAGAGCAUCGGAGCCACAUGGUUGUGGCCUCAUAGGGCUUUCUGGCUGGCAGUGUCUUAUGUGUAGGAAUAGUUUUUUUUGUGUAGGGUUUUCCUUUGUGUCUGUGUCUGAUAUUUGUGUGUCUGUCUGUUUGGUGCUGGAGCUGCCUUGCUUGUGGGUUUUAGCUMUGGUAGUGUGCAGAGGAGAGUAGUGAUGGAAUGGUGAUUAGUCAGCAUCUGUGUGCUCCACUUUAUGUUGUGUGUGUGUUUUGUUAUAUAUUUUUUUUUGUAGAUGUGGCACAGCAGUUGGAGUGCCUGAGGGAGAUGGAGGAAGAAAGGGUCAUGCCCUAGGAAGGUGUGGAGGAAUGUGGAGAGUGGGUCGUUUGCGUGUGGGAGGAGCACGGCAAGGUGCAUGACAGGCCUCGGCGUGGCAGCCGGUUGCAUGGCAGUUGGGAUGGGCGAGCAGAGCAGGUGAAGGUGUGGGAGCAAAUGCUUGAUGUGGGUGGGCUGUGGUUUUGCAGGUGUGACCCGAGCGCCUGCUUUCUGUUUGUGUUUGCAAGUUUUGCAGGAAGUUGUGGAGAGGCAAAGUUGAGUGUUGACAAGAGCCUGAGCAGGUCCUGUGUGGGCCUUUCCCAGGCAUGGCUGAGGAUGUCAGGUGCUGCGGGUGUCCCCCCAAGCACAAUUUUGGAGUUUGGGAUUGGUGUGGUGCAGGUGAGCAGAGCGUCCAUGGCGCUUUGGUGGUGGGCGCUCUUGCGGACGAGGCUGGAGCUGACUGGCCUGGGGGUGA
Molecule: long non-coding RNA, 1029 nt
Filed under: Apteryx owenii (little spotted kiwi)
Lineage: Eukaryota; Metazoa; Chordata; Aves; Apterygiformes; Apterygidae
Description: lncRNA (ENSAOWG00000014983.1)
Source: RNAcentral